RNAcentral lists this transfer RNA (85 nucleotides) under Felis catus (domestic cat). It matches the Rfam family "tRNA". Rfam says of the family: Transfer RNA (tRNA) molecules are approximately 80 nucleotides in length. Their secondary structure includes four short double-helical elements and three loops (D, anti-codon, and T loops). Further hydrogen bonds mediate the characteristic L-shaped molecular structure. tRNAs have two regions of fundamental functional importance: the anti-codon, which is responsible for specific mRNA codon recognition, and the 3' end, to which the tRNAs corresponding amino acid is attached (by aminoacyl-tRNA synthetases). tRNAs cope with the degeneracy of the genetic code in two manners: having more than one tRNA (with a specific anti-codon) for a particular amino acid; and 'wobble' base-pairing, i.e. permitting non-standard base-pairing at the 3rd anti-codon position. RNAcentral also lists the same sequence under 2 other names. The record is from Rfam by way of RNAcentral. Lineage: Eukaryota; Metazoa; Chordata; Mammalia; Carnivora; Felidae.
ACCUGGGUGGCUCAGUCGGUUGAGCAUCUGACUUCAGGUCAGGUCAUGAUCUCGCAGUUUGUGGGUUUAAGCCCCACAUCGGGCC